UUCUAGUACGGGCAAUAUAUUACUCUAAUUUGACGCGAAUUUAAUCGAUUACGUAUCCUAAUUAAUGAAUCUAGGUAUUGUGUUUAGUGAUCCUAUUCAUUAGGUGUAUCUAUACAUAGUGUGUAAAAAGCUCGAGUAAGCUAUCCGCGUUAAAACUGUCAAAAAGCUUAUCUGUGGACUAAAAUAGUGACUACAAUUGUUGUGGAUGUGAGCAUGCCUAAUGCCCACACAUAUUUCUGUAAAUGCACAUGUUUAUCGGCGCUCCACUUUUCAUGAUACUUCGCUAGGCACUUGACAUUGGCCUGGUCGAAGCUAAAAGGAAAGUAGAAAAUAAAGCGGUUCCGAUCGAAGACAGACAUGUCAUCAGUUUUCUCCUUCGUUUUUAGGUCACGUCAAACUUUAUUGUAAUUUCAAGUAGUUUGACUAACAACAAGUAAAUAUCGAAAUAGAUAUAGCUUCUUCUAUAAUUUGGAUUAAACUCGAAAUGGUAAACGUUAGUUAGCAACACGGAGAAAGGUAAAUUUUUAUGACAACGCAAAAAUUAACAAUUUUCGGUAGUAAGAAAAUUUGU
Molecule: long non-coding RNA, 571 nt
Organism: Agrilus planipennis (emerald ash borer)
Lineage: Eukaryota; Metazoa; Arthropoda; Insecta; Coleoptera; Buprestidae
Exons: 3
Source: RefSeq, a predicted model, not a curated record